RNAcentral lists this ribosomal RNA (497 nucleotides) under uncultured bacterium. RNAcentral describes it as "partial 16S ribosomal RNA". It matches the Rfam family "Bacterial small subunit ribosomal RNA", at positions 28 to 507 of the family's 1533-position model. The record is from RNAcentral.
GAUGAACGCUGGCGGCGUGCCUAAUACAUGCAAGUCGAGCGAACGGACGAUAAUCUUGCUUCUCUGAUGUUAGCGGCGGACGUGUGAGUCACGCGUGGAUCACCCACCUAUCAUACUGGUAUAACUUCGGGAAACCGUCGCUAAUCCCGGAUAAUAUUUUGAACCGCAUGGGUCAAGAGUGAAAGACGGUCUUUCUGUCACUAAUAGAUGGAUCUGCGCUGCAUUAGCUAGUUGGUAAGUUAACGGCUUACCAAGGCAACGAUGGAUAGCCGACCUGAGAGGGGGGUAGGCCACCCGGGAAGUGAAACGCGGUCCUGACGCCUAAGGGAGGCCGCAGAAGGCAAUCGUCGGCAGUGGGCGAAAGCCUGACGGAGCAACGCCGCGUGAGAGAUGGAGGUCUUCGGAUCGUAAAGCUCUGUUAUUAGGGAAGAACAUAUGUGUAAGGAACUGAACACAGCUUGACGGUACCGAAUCAGAAAGCCACGGCUAACUACGUG